Molecule: ribosomal RNA, 439 nt
Filed under: uncultured bacterium
Lineage: Bacteria
Description: partial 16S ribosomal RNA
Rfam family: Bacterial small subunit ribosomal RNA
Source: RNAcentral
CUACGGGCUGCUGCAGUGAGGAAUAUUGCACAAUGGGGGAAACCCUGAUGCAGCAACGCCGCGUGGAGGAUGACGCAUUUCGGUGUGUAAACUCCUUUCAUAUGUCAAGAAAAUGACGGUAGCAUAUGAAUAAGCACCGGCUAACUCCGUGCCAGCAGCCGCGGUAAUACGGAGGGUGCAAGCGUUACUCGGAAUCACUGGGCGUAAAGGACGCGUAGGCUGUUUGGCAAGUCAGAUGUGAAAUCCUAUGGCUCAACCAUAGAACUGCAUUUGAAACUGCCAGACUAGAGUAUGGGAGGGGGAGAUGGAAUUAGUGGUGUAGGGGUAAAAUCCGUAGAUAUCACUAGGAAUACCUAAAGCGAAGGCGAUCUCCUGGAACAUUACUGACGCUAAGGCGUGAAAGCGUGGGGAGCAAACAGGAUUAGAUACCCUCGUAGUC